Molecule: ribosomal RNA, 753 nt
Filed under: uncultured bacterium
Lineage: Bacteria
Description: bacterial SSU rRNA
Rfam family: Bacterial small subunit ribosomal RNA
Source: RNAcentral
CAGUCGAGCGAGCUUGCCUAGAUGAUUUUAGUGCUUGCACUAAAUGAAACUAGAUACAAGCGAGCGGCGGACGGGUGAGUAACACGUGGGUAACCUGCCCAAGAGACUGGGAUAACACCUGGAAACAGAUGCUAAUACCGGAUAACAACACUAGACGCAUGUCUAGAGUUUGAAAGAUGGUUCUGCUAUCACUCUUGGAUGGACCUGCGGUGCAUUAGCUAGUUGGUAAGGUAACGGCUUACCAAGGCAAUGAUGCAUAGCCGAGUUGAGAGACUGAUCGGCCACAUUGGGACUGAGACACGGCCCAAACUCCUACGGGAGGCAGCAGUAGGGAAUCUUCCACAAUGGACGAAAGUCUGAUGGAGCAACGCCGCGUGAGUGAAGAAGGGUUUCGGCUCGUAAAGCUCUGUUGGUAGUGAAGAAAGAUAGAGGUAGUAACUGGCCUUUAUUUGACGGUAAUUACUUAGAAAGUCACGGCUAACUACGUGCCAGCAGCCGCGGUAAUACGUAGGUGGCAAGCGUUGUCCGGAUUUAUUGGGCGUAAAGCGAGUGCAGGCGGUUCAAUAAGUCUGAUGUGAAAGCCUUCGGCUCAACCGGAGAAUUGCAUCAGAAACUGUUGAACUUGAGUGCAGAAGAGGAGAGUGGAACUCCAUGUGUAGCGGUGGAAUGCGUAGAUAUAUGGAAGAACACCAGUGGCGAAGGCGGCUCUCUGGUCUGCAACUGACGCUGAGGCUCGAAAGCAUGGGUAGCGAA